This 301-nucleotide ribosomal RNA is filed under the name uncultured bacterium. RNAcentral's name for it is "partial 16S ribosomal RNA". It matches the Rfam family "Bacterial small subunit ribosomal RNA", at positions 509 to 807 of the family's 1533-position model. The record is from RNAcentral.
CAGUCGCCACGGGAAUACGUAGGUCCCGAGCGUUGUCCGGAUUUAUUGGGCGUAAAGCGCGCGCAGGCGGUUAUAUAAGUCAGAUGUGAAAUCCCCGGGCUCAACCUGGGAACUGCAUUUGAGACUGUAUGGCUAGAGUGUGUCAGAGGGGGGUAGAAUUCCACGUGUAGCAGUGAAAUGCGUAGAUAUGUGGAGGAAUACCGAUGGCGAAGGCAGCCCCCUGGGCCAAUACUGACGCUCAUGCACGAAAGCGUGGGGAGCAAACAGGAUUAGAUACCCGCGUAGUCCCUGUCUCUUAUAC